AAACUUUACAAUGCUGGCAACAGCGAUAAGGGAACCUCGAGUGCCAGGUUACAAAUCUGGCUGUCGAGAUGCCUAAAAAGCAUUUCAUAGCAAGGGCCGGGCAAGACCGGUGCCAGCCGCCGCGGUAACACCGGCGGCUCGAGUGGUAACCGUUAUUAUUGGGUCUAAAGGGUCUGUAGCCGGCCGGAUAAGUCUCUUGAGAAAUCUGGCAGCUUAGCUGUCAGGCUUUCAGGAGAUACUGUCUGGCUCGAGGCCGGGAGAGGUGAGAGGUACUUCAGGGGUAGGGGUGAAAUCUUGUAAUCCUUGAAGGACCACCGGUGGCGAAGGCGUCUCACCAGAACGGACCUGACGGCAAGGGACGAAAGCUAGGGGCACGAACCGGAUUAGAUACCCGGGUAGUCCUAGCCGUAAACGAUACUCGCUAGGUGUCGGCCACGGUGCGACCGUUGUCGGUGCCGUAGGGAAGCCGUGAAGCGAGCCACCUGGGAAGUACGGCCGCAAGGCUGAAACUUAAAGGAAUUGGCGGGGGAGCACCACAAACAGGUGGAGCCUGCGGUUUAAUUGGAUUCAACGCCGGGAAGGGC
RNAcentral lists this ribosomal RNA (584 nucleotides) under uncultured archaeon. Its description in RNAcentral is "bacterial SSU rRNA". It matches the Rfam family "Archaeal small subunit ribosomal RNA", at positions 345 to 928 of the family's 1478-position model. The record is from RNAcentral.